Molecule: ribosomal RNA, 253 nt
Filed under: uncultured bacterium
Lineage: Bacteria
Description: partial 16S ribosomal RNA
Rfam family: Bacterial small subunit ribosomal RNA
Source: RNAcentral
UACGAAGGGGGCUAGCGUUGUUCGGAAUUACUGGGCGUAAAGGGCGCGUAGGCGGCGUGUCAAGUCAGGCGUGAAAGCCCCGGGCUCAACCUGGGAACCGCGCUUGAGACUGGCAUGCUCGAGUUCGGGAGAGGAUGGUGGAAUUCCCAGUGUAGAGGUGAAAUUCGUAGAUAUUGGGAAGAACACCGAUGGCGAAGGCGGCUCUCUGGACCGACACUGACGCUGAGGCGCGAAAGCGUGGGGAGCAAACAGG